UAUUAGUUUUUGGUCCUAUGUUAUUGGCGACGAUUGGAACGCCAGCGGUAGCAUCUAGUUUUACUGCAUUACACUGUUUUCCUUUGCCGCCAAUCGCUGCCAUCGCCACCACCGCAUCGUCUGCUAGCUGGUGAAAACUCACAAGCUCAGCCCUGGUGGGCAGGGCCACUAAUAAUCGCUGUAGCUGGCUGGUCCUUACCGGUUUUAGCGGACAGCAGCGCCACCAGUACUAAAAACAAUAGCAGAAUUCCAGCAAUACCGGACCAUGAUCAGUGACCGGGUUGGCAGUGGCCCACGACGCCGCCCCAAUAGGACGACCUCCCUUUCCUACAUGUGCCAUUGCUGAUGCUGAAACAACCAGCCGGCAAUCGACUGACUGGACAAAGUAGGCUAGCUCGUUGACCCUCUCGGGGUGUGUUCGAGACGGCGGCCAGCGCCGACGACAUCCGCUAAUAAUCGUGGUGGGCUGCUGGCUAACGUGUAGAGUUCGGCAAUUACUUCAUAUACGUUUGGUAAUAAUGCCACCGCUGCCACUGUUGUUAUUGUUGUAGUUGUCGUUGUUGCUAUUGUUAUUGCUGCAGUUGAUGCGAAAGGAGAAAUACGUGCUGCUGUUCAACUAGUGUGAUUGACUGCCGCUAGAGAGCAGUGGGACUAAGUAUCGGACUCCGGCGUCUUGCUCGAUGUAUGAAUGAGAGCAGGCGUCAUCGAUGGAGCCUUUUUUACAGUAUGAAUGACUUGUCGCUGCUGCUGCUGCUGUGUCUACGGGUAAACGGGUGUUCUCCGCGAUUGAAAUACUGAAAAAAAAAAAGAAAAAACGGAAUGUACUAUUAUUACGUGCACGAAGGCUACGGCGGCUUCUGGUAGAGUUCAAUCGUGAGGCCAUCGAAAUAUUCACGGAGAAAGCAAUGGGCCUCGAAAGAAGUUACGGCACUGCUCCCGUCGAACAAAAUAACUGUGGUAUUAACGAUGCAACUGGUUCCGGCUGCGAACACUUGUCAAAAUCGAGCAUCUCAAUAGUGUGGAACAAAUGAAAAGAAGCGAAACAAACGAGUACACCUAUUUGAAGAAUAGUUGAAAGACUUAUCUAUUUCAUGGAUGAGUGUAUCUCUCUUAGCCUACAUUUCUAUAUCUAAAUGGGCGGCAACCAUUGAAGAAUCAUCCGUAGCUGUGCUCCUUUUCUGACUUUGAAGUGACUCAGGCGAGCGACGUUUUGCCGUCUGGUGUUGUUUUUACGUCAUAUACGCUCUAUAUACGUGCAAAUCUAUGUAAUAGCUAUUCCAGUGGCAAAUGGCUAAGUGGUACACAGUAAGUAGCAUAUAAGUGAGUGGAAUAUUAUAAAUUGUCGCUUAUGGCAAAUUAUAAUUGCCGCUUUAUCAGUCAGGAACGGUUGCUGGGAGCUGGGUAUCAUCCCGUGUGUUUGUGUGUAAAUGUUUUCUAUUGAUUUAUUGCCAGUUAAACCCAAUGCUGCGGAAUCGAACUGUUAAGCGGUCAGGCCGCAAAUCCGGUUAUAGCUGAUAAUACAAGUUCGCUGAACGGGCAACAUCAAACUAUCGGUUGGUAGACACAUCGGCAGGAAUCGUUGAAGGUACCAGUUAAGGCCAGCGCAAGGCUUCGGUUACUGACUGUGGUCAGGACACUUCAUAGCCCUGUUCUGAUGGACGUCAACACCAACUAGCUAAAUUUGCUGCCAUCGAAACGAAUUUAUGUCCUGAUUGAAAGAGGCGGCGUGUGUUCCAAUGCAGAAUUGACACCAUCGUAAAAUCAACGUUGUAGCCAUUGCAGAGUGACCCCUUUCCAUCAAAAUGCCUCGGGAUUUAUUAGCAGAACUACAGAGCCGGGCGGCCCCCGUCAAUGAGGAGGAUGAGAACAAGAAGUCAGCAGAAGUUGAAGAGACGGUCACAAUUGAGAUUGAAAAUAACAAUCAAGUGAUGGUCGAUCAACUGGGCGACUUCCGGAAGAAGGCUCAACAGGUACAGGACGACUUGGAUCGGAUGCGCGAACGUACUGAUCAUGUUAAAGACAUUCAUGCAGAGAUAUUAUCGAGCCCGGACGGGGGGGAUAGAAAUAAUGAGCUGGAAGACGUUAUGGCCGAGGUGAAAAGGUUGGCCUCUCGCAUCCAGGGAGCACUCAAAAUGAUCAAACAGAAGGCAGAAGAAGCUAUCAAUGAAAAUCCCACCUCAGCGGUGUCGCGAAUGAAGCUCAUCCAACAGCAGACCUUGAGCAAGACGUUCGUGGAUAUAAUGAUGGACUAUAAUCACGCCCAGAUGGAAUAUCGGGAAAGGUGUAAGGAUCGUAUCAAACGACAACUGUUUAUCACAGGACAGUCUACUACAGACGAAAAACUUGAAGAGAUAAUUGAGUCUGGGAAUGUCGAUGUGUUCACGCAGGGUACCAUAAUGAAGACGGCGAAAGCGAAAGAGGCCUUAGCAGAUGUACAGGCCCGACACAAAGAUAUCCUCCAGCUAGAAAAAUCAAUACGCGAAUUGCGAGAUAUGUUUCUCGAGAUGGCCGUUCUCGUUGAAGGUCAAGGCGAGAUGGUCAAUCGGAUCGAGUACAACGUUGCCAACGCGCGUGAUUUCGUUGAACAGGCGAAGAAGGAAACCGCACAGGCAGUGGAAUAUCAAAAAGCGGCGCUAAAAAAGAAAUUCUGGCUUAUCGCUAUAGGCCUAUCAAUUCUUCUUAUUAUUAUAAUCAUCAUUUUUGUAGGAGAGAAGGUUUCAUAGUCAUCAACGUGUUACCUUUGACCACUCACGUAAUCACGAAGUAUGUCAAAUAAAAUCUAAGCAAGAAAAAGCAUAGUAAAACGUAACGUCAGUUACGGGAAAAAUCAUCGCUUCUGUAGGAAGAGCCAAUGGCAAUUUUUCUUUCUUAUCAUUAUAAUUUAUAAUAAUAACGCCUUUAGUCGUGCGAAAAAAUAACGUUCGUUCGCAUUAGUUCCUAGAGAGACCUCGAAAUGAUUCACCAAAUGCUUACAGAUAACUGUCAGUUUCAACUUAGCUUCCCAUCAAGGUUACCAGUAUGCAGAAGUGCCCUACAGCGAAUCCGAAUGAUGGUAUGACUAAAAACGUGUUUUUUUUGUCGCCUGAGUGUAGUAAGAAUGCGUACGUGUUUAAAUGAAAAAAAUAAAAAAAAAAACACACUAAAGUGUAUUAUGUCGUAAAAGCAAAGUAACAACGAAAUAACAAAUUGUGGCCAAAUACCGUUAAUUAGGGACGCGAUCGUGAGAAAUCUUAUCCUUCAUUUAAUACAGAACAUCCGGGGGUUAACCGAAAGGGUUCUGUUUGGAGUAAAAGCCUUAAAAGUAUGCCUAAAGGUCCGCUAAAUACAUCGCUGAUUUUGAGACCAUAAGCGCGGAUCGUAUAAUCCAUUCAAAAGGCCACGAUUGCGACGAUUCAGCAGCAUUAGGUUUGGCAAGUUAGGCAAGUACAGUUCGACCUAUCUGUAAACUAUACUGCAAAUGGCAUCGCAGGACCUGGACGUUUUUUUUACCUAACCUAUAAAAGUGCGAAGCUUCAAUCUGUAGAAUAGACUGCCUUGAGUUGAAGCAAAUAACGUCAAAUAACGUCACUACAAUUGAACCUAUGCAUUAUGAAGCUUCAAGGUGGUUUGCAAGGAAGUAUCUUCGUACGAGUUAAAGCUCUGUAGAUCGAAGUUCAAUAUCAGUUUAGUGAAGACAGAUGCAACUGAUCCGAGCAUGUCAAACAAGAAGCGAACUGGACCGUGAAGGUUACUUAUGCAUAACAGCAAGCAUCAGCGAUCGACUUUACCAUGGUUCGGUAGGGUGUCGAGCAGCGAGGCAGCACUCGUUCGUUGGCACAAUUUGGAAAAGUCACUGGCAAAUGGAGAUAUGGAUGACACAUCUGUUUCUCCAAAUUCUAAUAUAAACUUUGUGACGACAUCAAUACGCAAGCAGCUCUGAUUUUAACCAGUGUGUCUUCUCUUCGUGCAUUUCAAAUCGCUGCACAUUGUGAGAAAUGGUACCCUUUAGACUAUGUUGAAACGAUGUCUUCAACAUAAUCGUGAAUUUUUUUGAUACGGUGAAUUUUUUA
Molecule: non-coding RNA, 4049 nt
Organism: Varroa destructor (honeybee mite)
Lineage: Eukaryota; Metazoa; Arthropoda; Arachnida; Mesostigmata; Varroidae
Source: RefSeq, a predicted model, not a curated record